Molecule: ribosomal RNA, 329 nt
Filed under: uncultured Methanomicrobiales archaeon
Lineage: Archaea; Methanobacteriati; Methanobacteriota; Methanomicrobia; Methanomicrobiales
Description: bacterial SSU rRNA
Rfam family: Archaeal small subunit ribosomal RNA
Source: RNAcentral
ACUGUGAAGCAUCCUGUUAAGCAGGCAACGAGCGAGACCCACGCCAACAGUUGCCAGCUCGGUCCUCCGGGAUGGUGGGGACACUGUUGGGACCGGCCUCUGCUAAAGAGGAGGAAGGAAUGGGGCAACGGUAGGUCAGCAUGCCCCGAAUUAUCUGGGCUACACGCGGGCUACAAUGGGUGGGACAAUGGGUAUCGACACCGAAAGGUGAAAGGCAAUCUCCUAAACCCAUCCGUAGUUCGGAUUGUGGGCUGCAACUCGCCCACAUGAAGCUGGAAUCUGUAGUAAUCGUGUCUCAAAAUGGCACGGUGAAUAUGUCCCUGCUCCUU